Molecule: ribosomal RNA, 491 nt
Filed under: uncultured bacterium
Lineage: Bacteria
Description: partial 16S ribosomal RNA
Rfam family: Bacterial small subunit ribosomal RNA
Source: RNAcentral
AGUGAACGCUGGCGGUAGGCCUAACACAUGCAAGUCGAACGGCAGCACAGUAAGAGCUUGCUCUUACGGGUGGCGAGUGGCGGACGGGUGAGGAAUACAUCGGAAUCUACUUUUUCGUGGGGGAUAACGUAGGGAAACUUACGCUAAUACCGCAUACGACCUACGGGUGAAAGCAGGGGAUCUUCGGACCUUGCGCGAUUGAAUGAGCCGAUGUCGGAUUAGCUAGUUGGCGGGGUAAAGGCCCACCAAGGCGACGAUCCGUAGCUGGUCUGAGAGGAUGAUCAGCCACACUGGAACUGAGACACGGUCCAGACUCCGACGGGAGGCAGCAGUGGGGAAUAUUGGACAAUGGGCGCAAGCCUGAUCCAGCCAUACCGCGUGGGUGAAGAAGGCCUGCGGGUUGUAAAGCCCUUUUGUUGGGAAAGAAAAGCAGCAGGUUAAUACCCCGCUGUUCUGACGGUACCCAAAGAAUAAGCACCGGCGAACUUCGU